GCUUGUCUCAAAGAUUAAGCCAUGCAUGUCUAAGUACAUGUGUAUUAACACGAAACCGCGUAUGGCUCAUUAUAACAGCUAAAAUUUACUUGAUAUUGACUAUAAUCCUACAUGGAUAACUGUGGUAAUUCUGGAGCUAAUACAUGCAUAAAAGCUGAAUCUUUACGGAUUCGGUGCGGUUAUUGGAUCAAAAUCAAACAUCUUCGGAUGUUAAUGAUUGACUUCAAAUAAUUACACAGCUGAUCGUACGGUCUUGUACCGACGACAAGUCAUUCAAGUGUCUGACCUAUCAACUUUCUAUAUAAGUAUAUAGUACUUAUAUGGUUUUGACGGGUAACGGAGAAUUAGGGUUCGACUCCGGAGAAAAUGCCUGAGAAACGGCGUUUACAUCCAAGGAAGGCAGCAGGCGCGAAAAUUACCCACUCUCAGUUCGAGGAGGUAGUGACGAGAAAUGACAAGAUCUAGUCCUUCGGGGCUGGAUCAUUGGAAUGGUUGAUUUAAAACCAUAAAGAG
RNAcentral lists this ribosomal RNA (513 nucleotides) under Tardigrada environmental sample. RNAcentral describes it as "bacterial SSU rRNA". It matches the Rfam family "Eukaryotic small subunit ribosomal RNA", at positions 30 to 541 of the family's 1831-position model. Lineage: Eukaryota; Metazoa; Tardigrada. The record is from RNAcentral.